This 253-nucleotide ribosomal RNA is filed under the name uncultured bacterium. Its description in RNAcentral is "partial 16S ribosomal RNA". It matches the Rfam family "Bacterial small subunit ribosomal RNA", at positions 524 to 776 of the family's 1533-position model. The record is from RNAcentral.
UACGUAGGGGGCUAGCGUUGUCCGGAUUUAUUGGGCGUAAAGAGCGUGUAGGCGGUCGAGUAAGUCCGGUGUGAAAACUCGAGGCUUAACCUCGAGAUGUCAUCGGAAACUAUUCGGCUAGAGUCCGGAAGAGGAGAGUGGAAUUCCCGGUGUAGCGGUGAAAUGCGCAGAUAUCGGGAAGAACACCCGUGGCGAAGGCGGUUCUCUGGGACGGUACUGACGCUGAGACGCGAAAGCGUGGGGAGCGAACAGG